This 328-nucleotide ribosomal RNA is filed under the name uncultured eukaryote. Its description in RNAcentral is "partial 18S ribosomal RNA". It matches the Rfam family "Eukaryotic small subunit ribosomal RNA", at positions 1470 to 1796 of the family's 1831-position model. The record is from RNAcentral.
CCCUUAGAUGUCCUGGGCCGCACGCGCGUUACACUGAUGCAUUCAACGAGCUUAUAACCUUGGCCGAGAGGCCUGGGCAAUCUUGUUAACGUGCAUCGUGAUAGGGAUAGAUUAUUGAAAUUAUUAAUCUUGAACGAGGAAUUCCUAGUAAACGCAGAUCAUCAAUCUGCAUUGAUUACGUCCCUGCCCUUUGUACACACCGCCCGUCGCACCUACCGAUUGGAUGGUCCGGUGAAGCCUCGGGAUUGUGGUUCUUGCCGCUUUAUUGUAGCGUGACCGCGAGAACUUGUCUAAACCUUAUCAUCUAGAGGAAGGUGGAGUCGUAACA